UACGAAGGGGGCUAGCGUUGCUCGGAAUCACUGGGCGUAAAGCGCACGUAGGCGGGUCGUUAAGUCGGGGGUGAAAUCCUGGAGCUCGACUCCAGAACUGCCUUCGAUACUGGCGAUCUUGAAUCUGGGAGAGGUGAGUGGAACUCCGAGUGUAGAGGUGAAAUUCGUAGAUAUUCGGAAGAACACCAGUGGCGAAGGCGGCUCACUGGCCCGGUACUGACGCUGAGGUGCGAAAGCGUGGGGAGCAAACAGG
Molecule: ribosomal RNA, 253 nt
Filed under: uncultured bacterium
Lineage: Bacteria
Description: partial 16S ribosomal RNA
Rfam family: Bacterial small subunit ribosomal RNA
Source: RNAcentral